Molecule: transfer RNA, 56 nt
Filed under: Pseudomonas sp.
Lineage: Bacteria; Pseudomonadati; Pseudomonadota; Gammaproteobacteria; Pseudomonadales; Pseudomonadaceae
Description: tRNA-Leu
Rfam family: tRNA
About the family: Transfer RNA (tRNA) molecules are approximately 80 nucleotides in length. Their secondary structure includes four short double-helical elements and three loops (D, anti-codon, and T loops).
Source: RNAcentral
AGCUCGUCGGGCUCAUAACCCGAAGGUCGUAGGUUCAAAUCCUGCUUCCGCAACCA